GAUUGUGAGAUGAAGAUGGUUCUAGGAGCAGCUUGAGCUCCUCCUCAGAAGUCUACAGUAAUCUCCUGAGAGCACGUAAAGAAGGAAAGGAGCUGGCAAAUUAGGAAAUUAUGGAUAAAGCCUCAGUGUCUUCACUAGGCAUACAACAUGCAGCCUAACUAACCAAAUGUUAUUUCUUUCCCCCAGAAGACCCUGCGUUAUUUUAGGAACAGAGGAGCAAUUCUAGGAUUUUUGUAAGGCUAAAACUUAUUGGGCCUGGAUCUUGUGUGCUCGUUCUGGGAAGUCAUAGCACAUAGCUGCCUGGAAUGCUUCCUCAGGUCAUCUUACGAAAAGUCACAAGUUGGAGUCAUGGUGCUGUUAUUUCCAACUACUUCCUCACCUGCUGAACCACACUGAGGAACUUCACAAAUAGAAUUUCCUGAGGCCAAGCUAACAGAUGCACUGAAAGAGGCAUGAUGAGCCUGGGGAUCAGCAAGGAGUGUUGGGCCAGUUUGGAUCCUCCCUCUAGUGUCCAGUGUGCCUGCAGGCAGCUGUGUGCAUUGAUUGUGCCAACCUCAGGCCAGAAGAGUAGCAGCAGGUAAAUUAUGGCCCAUGGGCCAAAUCCAGCCCUUGGCUUGUUUCUG
Molecule: long non-coding RNA, 623 nt
Organism: Mustela erminea (ermine)
Lineage: Eukaryota; Metazoa; Chordata; Mammalia; Carnivora; Mustelidae
Exons: 4
Source: RefSeq, a predicted model, not a curated record